This 449-nucleotide ribosomal RNA is filed under the name uncultured bacterium. Its description in RNAcentral is "bacterial SSU rRNA". It matches the Rfam family "Bacterial small subunit ribosomal RNA", at positions 330 to 793 of the family's 1533-position model. The record is from RNAcentral.
CCCAGACUCCUACGGGAGGCAGCAGUGGGGAAUAUUGGACAAUGGGGGGAACCCUGAUCCAGCGACGCCGCGUGAGUGAAGAAGUAUUUCGGUAUGUAAAGCUCUAUCAGCAGGGAAGAAAGAAAUGACGGUACCUGACUAAGAAGCCCCGGCUAACUACGUGCCAGCAGCCGCGGUAAUACGUAGGGGGCAAGCGUUAUCCGGAUUUACUGGGUGUAAAGGGAGCGUAGACGGCAGUGCAAGUCUGAAGUGAAAGGCGGGGGCCCAACCCCCGGACUGCUUUGGAAACUGUGCUGCUGGAGUGCAGGAGAGGCAAGUGGAAUUCCUAGUGUAGCGGUGAAAUGCGUAGAUAUUAGGAGGAACACCAGUGGCGAAGGCGGCUUACUGGACUGUAACUGACGUUGAGGCUCGAAAGCGUGGGGAGCAAACAGGAUUAGAUACCCGCGUAA